RNAcentral lists this long non-coding RNA (11879 nucleotides) under Gallus gallus (chicken). Lineage: Eukaryota; Metazoa; Chordata; Aves; Galliformes; Phasianidae. The record is from RNAcentral.
GAAACAGACUCAUUCUGCUGUUCCCUGGGUAAAAGGAGAGCUCCCAGGAAUGUUGGCAGAUGAUAAGCAGAAAUGCCAGAACACUAAUCCUUCAGAGCAAAUCUUCUCAUUGCUACACUUUGACUAACAUGUUGCUGUGAACAGGACCUGGAAAUGUCUUGACAGUGACCUUCCCUCCUUCUUUACUUUGGAUUGUCCCUUUCACAAAGGAUUCUUUGGGGUGCACCACAAAGACCGAUGACUUGGCAUCAAAAGGCUUGUUCUGGGCCUCGAUUCUUUCCUUCUCUGACUUUCGGAGGUAGGGAGCUGCCUCCCCAAAGGCGGCCAUCUCAGCAUCUGGAGAAGCCAUGGCUGCGCUCACACAGGAAGCACAGUCAGAAGAGUGCUCUGUAGGAAAGAAAAUAUGUUGAGUCAGUGGGUAAAGUGUUCUGUGAAAGAGAGAAAAUCUACAAAAUACAGGCAUACAAAAUCUAAAAUAUACAGAGCCUGGAGUCCAGUGGUACUAGAAGGAAACCACAGCACAGCUGGAAGAGGCAGAAUGUGAGAAAUCCAUGGAUACAGGCAGUCCUGCACAGCAGUACAGUUGAUUGACCUUACAUGGCUUGCUGCAGCCCAAGCUCCACUGAGCAUCUCACUGGAGAAGAACCAGAUCAGCUAACCAGACAGGACAUUCCAAGAGGAGUCUUUGUGCCCUUGGAUCCUUAAUGAGCAGACUGACAAUGAAUGUGUAGCCUCAUACCCCUGAGUAAAAUCGGACCUCUCAGGAAUGCUGGCAUGAGACAAGAAGAAAUGCCGGAAUACUAAUUCUCUGGUGCAAAGCUCCUCAUCCCAACAUUUCUGCUAAGAUGUGGCUGAGCAAUGGACAUUGGAGAUGCAAAUGUCACAGCGAACUGUAUCUGGGCAGUGGGUGCUGUUUGAGGAGACAUUCAGAAUGCCAUUUUCAUCAGAUGACAAAGCAGGCGAACAGCUCCAGUUACAAAGCAGCACUGUGCUGACCUCCGGGAGCUGCUGGUAUGAGAAGGUGGUGGUGUCUACUCUGCUGGAGCUGUAAGAGCACUGUCAUAAAACCCUAACAGGAAGGCUCAGAGCCUGGAGUCCAGUGGUACUAGAAGGAAACCACAGCACAGCUGGAAGAGGCAGAAUGUGAGAAAUCCAUGGAUACAGGCAGUCCUGCACAGCAGUACAGUGUGAGCAUGGUGUUGACAUUCCCCACAGUGAAGAGGGCAUCCAGACAUGCCAUCCAGACAUGAAAACAGAUUACACUCCAUUUUCUGAAAGUUCCUAUAAAAUAUUCUGAGUUGGAAAGACUACACAAGAAUGAUCAAGUCCAACUCCUGUCUGCACAUAGGACUACCUAAAAAUUAAACCAUAAUUCUGAGAGUGUUUAAAUGCCCAUCUAGUAUGGCAGCAGCAGAGGUCUAACCAUGGCCACGUAAGGUGUCUGACUGGCUCCAGAGCCUCUCGUUUGUUCGCAUGCUAUUUUCACAAGACAAAAAAUUCCUGAUGCUGCAAUGGACUUAUGCCAUGAAGGACUGGAUCUUUCCUCCAGAAGGCAUUCACUGUGGCCCUGAGUCUUUCACUACUGCAUCACAGUUCUCGGAAUACACAGUACUUUGCCUUGACAUCUCCAAUUUCUUGAAAAGCAAAGGAAAAUUCACACAGCAGAGGGGGAAAAAAAGCAAAAAACAAAACAAAAAAACAUAAACAAAUUUUGUUCUACUUUCCCUUGAAAUUAUGUUGUUCAAUCCCUUUUUCAUGCUGAAACAUCUAUAACUCUAAUUAUUUCUCAGCACCAAAAAAACUCAUGUCUGACAGACACUCAGAGGCCUUACGAAACACAAACAUGCUGCCCUACAAACACCAACUCUUGGCUAUCAUAGAAUCACAGAAUUUCUAUGUUAUGAUAUUGACUUUCCUUGUCUUGUGUUCAGAGAGCAUGAAUAGAGGAGAUAGAGGCACUCAUGAGAACUGUUGAAGUGUGACAGUGGAGCACGAUCAAGAACUCUUGAGUUUGUGGCUCAGUACAAACUACACUCUCAUCUCUGCAUCUUGGAGCAACAACAACAUCAACCUUGUAGCCUGUUUAGUUAGAAAGAAAUUCCACAUCCAAUAUCUCCAUGUAAUUACCAUGGAACCAUCUGCAGACCUUCUGUUUAAAUCCUCUGCUCCUUCUACCCUGGGCUGCUCUGAACAUGACCUCCUGGACAGUUGCACUGACAUAAGAAGUUGCCACUGACCUGGCCUCCAUUUCAAAUGGAUUGAUCUUUUCUACCUAGAGAGGAUCAAAUAAAGUCAGUCCUGGCAGACCGUAGGAGAAUCACCUAGGAAAGUUUAAGAAUGGAUCUUCUUGGGAGUCAGUAUGCGUGAUGGAAGAUUUAACCUUGGCAGCUGGUGAAUUCCAGUACCAAAAAGUACCUGAUAAUGAGUUGUCAUCUCUCUGAAGAAGCACAGCAUAACUAUCACUAUCACACAGUUCAUGCUCUCAUGAGAGCAUUGGGUACCUUUGUUAUUGUCUCUAGAUUCUGUUAGUUAAACACUCAUCCUAGAGCAGCUGCACAAUGGACUUCAUAGACAUUUAGAGGAGGUGUGCUCAAAUCAGAUGGGUAUCCAGUAAAUGGAUGCCAAAAAACAGGACACUCUGAUACAUGAAUCUUCUUCACCAAAUGGAGGAUGCUUUUAAAAAGAUAUUUAGUUGUUUCCUUUGUACUGGGAUCCACAGGCUCUCCCACGCUCUGUCAUGAAGCUUUUUGUGAUCCUGAUCAGCACCAGCUCCUUUUACUUGACUGCAAAUUUGAAGAGAACACAUUCACAUGAAAGAUUAGCAGAAGAUCUCAAGAUGGCACCAAUCUCACCCUGCCCGUUCAAUGUCAUGCCACCAGCAGUUUCACCUGGAAAGAUGCUUGGUUAAUUCUGCUCAUAUCAAAAAGGAGCUCAGUGUAGGAGAAGCAGGAAAGCCAAGAGUGCCUACGGAUAGCAGCCUGCAGCAGACCAGUUGCCGCUUUAGUUCUUCAAUCUGUUGCGUGAAGGCCUGUUUCCCUCUGGACAGCUGAGAAAUUAAACCAUCUUUUUCGUCCGCCUGGCGUGCGUAUUCACCUGGAAAACAUUUAUAGUUAAAAAACAUUUCAGCAGCCAAUCUUAAAUUAAAUUAUGCCAGUAGGGGGAAUAUAUAAUUUCGAAACUAGAGCUGAUGUGUCUAACCAGAUUCUGUUUGCAGGCGAGCUCUUUGAGCACUGAGAUCACUGAUCAUGCGCUGGUUCUGCUCAUCUUUCGUUUUGAAUUCACUUAGUUGGUCUUCCAAAGUGCGACACAUCUUCUCCAGGUUUGCCUAGUUAUCAAGCAUGCAUAAGAAAAGAGAGUGAAUACCCAGACUCUAUCUUAUUUACAGAAGGAAAACAUGGCUAGAUGAUACAGUUUACAUAUAUAUGGACAAUGUGCAUUAAUUAGGGUUUUAUAUAUUCAAUUUGAAGAAAAAACAGCUGACAAUGUUUAAGCAAGGGAAGACUGAACAUAAAUAUAGUGUUGAAAAAGUGCUAAUAAAAGUAUUUCUAUACCUUAUAAAAAAUACGGUAUAGAAAUAAAAUAAUAAAAGUAUUUCUAUACCUUAGCUUUGGAGACAGACUCCAUGUUGCUGGCCAAGUCAUCAAUCUCCAUCUUCAGCUCACUCUUCUCCUUCUCCAGCUUCUGCUUGACUCGUUGCAGGUUGUCAAUCUGCUCCCCAAGCUCCGCUGUGCUGUCCGCAUGCUUCUUCCGCAGGGCAGCAGCCGUGGCUUCGUGCUGCAGCGUGGCCUCUUCGAGGUCACGGCGCAUCUUCUGAAAUUCUGCCUCACGCUUCUUGUUCAUCUCGAUCUGAGCUGCUGUAGCCCCUCCUGCUUCCUCCAGGCGCCCACUGAUCUCCUCCAGCUCCCUGGAGAGGUCAGCUCGGUGCUUCUCUGCUUUUGCCCGAGAGGUUCGCUCUGCCUCAAUUUCCUCCUCCAGUUCUUCAAUACGGGCCUGGGGAACAGCAGGGACCCUUCACACCCAUGUCCUUCUCCUACCUCACCUCAGUCUGUGUGAUAGAGGAAAAGAUCCAGAGACUUGCCUGCAGCUCCUUGAUCUUCUUCUGUAACUGCAUGCCCAGAAGUUGUUCAUCCUCAAUUUUGCUCUGGAUCUGGCUGAUUUCAAAGUCUUUCCUUUGCACAAAGCAAAUGGUGUUAGUGCCUGAACAAAACAUCUAAGUGUACCCGUCCAGCACUCAGAUGUCCCACAACCACACUUACUUCUUCAGUUUCUCAUCCAGCUGCUGUUUAUCAUUUUCCAAGUCCAUUAUGCUAUCAUGGGCCAACUUCAGGUCUCCUUCAAGUUUCCUCUUGGCUCUCUCGAGGUCCAUGCGCAGCUUCUUCUCUUGCUCCAGGGACCCUUCCAGCUAAACCAAAGGAGAUCAUUAGUGCUCUGUCACCCAUGUUUAUCUCCACAACUGUCCUGUAAUGAUUGUAUUUUGCUUACAUCAUCCACUUGCUGUUCCAGCUUGGUUUUAGCUUUGGUCAGCGUAUUGACUUUGUCCUCUUCAGCCUGCAGGUCAUCCAGUGUCUGCUGAUGGGCCUCUUGGAGGGCUUUCUUCUCUUUUGUCAGCUUCACAAUGGUCUCAUCCAGGGCUGCCAUCUCCUCUGUGAGGUUUUUCACCUUUGACAAGAAGGGAGUAAGUGUAGAUAAAAAAUGUUGUUUACAGUUUAAUACUGUGCAACAAAAGUGAGCGACAUCUUCUUCCUCAUACCUUGUUUUCAGUGGCAUGCUUUUCCUUCUCAACUUUGGCCAAUGUUAACUCCAGGUCAUCUAUGUCUUUCUUCAGUUCUGAACAUUCAUCCUCCAGUUUUCUCUUCUUGGCUGUCAGUUCAGCAUUAAUUUCCUCCUCAUCCUCAGCCCGUUCUGUCACCUCCUUUACUUUGGCUUCCAGCUGGAUUUUGGUUUUGAUGAGCUGGUCACAUCUUUCCUCAGCAUCAGCCAAUGCAUCAGCUUCCUGAGGGGAAAAAUGCACUUUUUUCAGAUAUGUAGUUUGGGCGCAUAUUGUGAUUCUCAGCUUCAUAAAUUCAGAUUCCUUACUAGCAAUGUUUUAGUUUAAUGUUUGUUUUAUAUUUCAAGAAAUACAGUUUUUAAUUUAUUUUAAAUUGGUGCUUUUAAUACAUCUGUUUUUGAAUGCUACCAAACAAACAUGCAUACCAAACAAAAUCCUUUGUUAUCUACAUGAAGAGCUGCGUAUUAAAAUACAUAUGUAUGUGUAUAUUCAUCUUAACCCAUAAUAAUGAAUAGAGUAUGUAAAUUUGGGUUUAAUCAUAUUAAUAUCUCUUGUAAUUCCAGCAUUUACAAAGUGCUGAGUGAUAAUCGUAUGCCAAGAUAAAUACAAAUACCAAAGUGACAGUUAUGUUGAUACCAUUUUUUUAUUUCUCUUUUUUACCCUGCUGGGUUUUUAGAGCAACUGUUUCUGCUUUCGAUUUUCAUCACAUCUCAAAAAAUACUCAGCAUCCAGCAGUUUCAGCUUUUUCUCUGCAAUACUCUUGUCACCUCCGGUAGCUGCCGGAAUUGAGUCAUUUGGAAUACGCAUUUGCAGAUAACACCAAGCUGAGUGGUGCAGUCAAUACACUGGAGGGAAAGGAAGCCAUCCAGAGGGACCUGGACAGGCUGAAGAAGCGGGCCGAUAGGAACCUAAUGAGGUUCAGUAAGGCCAAGUGCAGGGUGCUGCACUCGGGUCGGGGCAAUCCCAGGUAUUUAUACAAACUGACGGAAGAUCUUGAGAACAACCCUGUGGAGAAGGACUUGGGGGGUUCUGGUAGAUGAGAAGCUGGACAUGAGCCAGCAGUGUGCGCUUGCAGCCCGGAAGGCCAACUGUGUUCUGGGCUGCAUUAAAAAGAGGUGGCCAGCAGGGAGAGGGAGGUGAUUGUGCCCCUCCACUCAGCUCUUGUGAGGCCCCAUCUGCAGUACUGCAUCCAGGCCUGGGGCCCCCACCACAGAAAGGACAUGGAGCUCUUGGAGUGGGUCCAGAGGAGGGCCACUAAGAUGAUCAGAGGGCUGGAGCAGCUCUCCUAUGAGGAAAGGUUGAGGGAACUGGGCUUGUUUAGCUUGGAGGAGAGAAAGCUGUGGGAAGACUUCACUGUGGCCUUCCAGUACUUGAAGGGAGUGGAUAAACAGGAGGGGGAAAGGUUGUUCACAAGGGUGCAUAGUGAUUGGACAAGGGGGAAUGGUUUUAAACUAAGACAGGAGAGGUUUAGGUUAGAUAUUAGGAGGAAGUUUUUCACUCUGAGGGUGGUAAUUCACUGGAACAGGUUGGCCAAGGAGGUUGUGGAUGCCCCAUCCCUGGAGGCAUUCAAGGCCAGGCUGGACGUGGCUCUGGACAGCCUGGUCUGGUGGUUGGCAACCCUACACAUAGCAGGGGGGUUGAAACUCAAUGAUUGUUAUGGUCCUUUUCAACCCAGGCCGUUCUAUGAUUCUGUUAUUCUAUGCCUCUAGGCUUGUAUUUAUUUAUUAUUUAUUUGCAGCAGAUAUCCUGUGGUAUUUACUUUUAUCUCAUCUUCCAGUCUAGUAGGAAUUUUAUGGGAAAAAAAAAAGUGAUAAUUUCAGCAGUGAAUGAUUUUUAGGUCUUUUUACAGUUCAAGAUGUUUUCAAAAGGAGACCAUUUAAGCUUUCCUAGGUGUCACUUAAACUGCACAGUGCUGCAAUGAUGAUAUAGUCUCUUCUAUUCGAUUAAUGCUUUAAUUUAGAAAUCACAGGAUUAAAACCUCAUAAAUGUACCGUGUAAUUUUAUCUAGUGAUUCUGACUACUUUUAGAGGAUAAGUGAGAUGAAUAUAUUGUUUAUUCUUAGCUCAGCAUUAUAUCAUGGUAAUCUGUAACAGGUAGAACACCACCUACAUUUGAAAGGAAGAAAUUAUCUUGUUUAAUUGGGAUAUAGAAAGAAGAAAUGCCCUCUUUAUAUUCCCUAAAGUCAUAUAUUUAUAAGGACAGACAUUCUCUGUUUUGGAGAGGUAGGAAAACAUAAACAGAAGAACAAAAAUGUACUACUAAAAGUAAAAUUUCUUAAUUGCUCUGAUGCAAUUAAACUGAAUGUAAGUGAUAAUAGUCUCUGCCAACACAACAGAACUGGUGACCAGCAGUAGUCCCUAAUGAAGCAGCAUGAAGCUACAUCAAGAGAUUGGAUAUUAUGAAAAGGUUCUUCACCACUAGGGUGGUUGGGCCGUGGAGCAGGCUCCCCAGGAAAGUGGUCAUGGCACCGAACCUGUCAGUAUUCAAGAAUUGUUUAGUCAAUGCUCUCAGAAAUUUGGUUUGAAUUUGAGGAGAUCCUAUGCUGAGCUGGGAGUUGGACCCAAUCGUUCUUGGGUUCUUUCCUACUCAGGAUAUGCUGUCGUUCUAUGAUUUUGUGAAAUGUCUCACCCAUGGUAUCCAUGUGGUCAUGAAGUGCCAUGACUGCAGCCUUCUGACAGUUCUUACUUUAGCUAGUUAUAUUUUUCACUGCAGCACUUAAUGAAGUACAACUUAAUUCAAUUAUAUUGUACUUCCUAUGUGUCUUUUGAAAAUGUAGUCAGCCUAGGUAGAAUCAGUCACACUGGUAGUACUCACAGCCUGCACUUGGAGCUGCAGAUCAUUUUUCUCCUGCACCAGCUUCACCAUUUUCUCCUCCAGCUCCUUCCUCUUUGCCUCAGACUUUGCAAGCUCUUCCUUGGUCUUCUCAAACUCUUGUUUCAUGUUGGCCAUCUCCUUCUCAGACUCUGCGCUCUUCAGCAGCGGCUUGAUCUUAAAGAACAGCUUCAUCCAGGGCCAGUGCUUGACAUUCAUGAAUGCACGAAUGUUGUACUGGAUGCAGAAGACAGACUCUCUAAAAGGUAAGUCAAAUAAAUAUUGGCAAUUUAGACUCGGAUGACACAAUAUACCAAACCCAGUAAACCUAAUUUAAAUAAAUGUCUACCUCCUCUCCACCAUUUUCUGGUAUUCCACUCUCAUCAGGAAGCCUCUGCACCUGGCCUGUGUGCGAGUGAUGAGCUGUGCCAGCUUCUCAUCCCUCAUCUCCUCCAAAAGGCCAACCAGCCCAGCUUUGAAGAACACCUUAGGUCAUAAAACAAAAAUAAGUACAGUGUAUGUGCUCUUUGGUCACUGUAGCCAAGUAACCAGUUCCUCCAUGGCAGAUAACACAGGAAGUUAAGAGAAAGAGCAAAAACACAAAGAAUAUGUGUAGUUACCAUGUGUAGUUCCUCUUUAAUAUCUUCAGUCAUGCUGGCCUGGCUAUUACAGUCAUAUUACAGUACAUGAAAAACUAUAAAAGCCAGACCUUAUUCACUGUUUUUAUUAAAUCUUGAUUCUUCUAUUCUAAAACUUCAUCUUCAAUUAGGAACUCUUAAUUAGAAUCAUCCUCCAUCAAUGAAUUUCAAAGUAUUGAGUCAAUAAGUAUCUAGUUUAUGUAUUUUAAACUCACUGUUUGAUGAUUUCACAUGCUACUUGAAGAAUCUCAGUAUCAUCCUCAAGCUUUACAAAACAAAAAAUACAUAGUACUUGAAACAAACACUUCUGAUACCUUGGUGUGACCAAAUUUAUACUGAGUGUGGUCUAUAUCAAUUGAUCCAAGCAGUUUCUCACAAGCCUUCUUGCUGUCAAUGAACUGUCCCUCUGGAAUAGCGCUUGCAUUUAGUACUUUGUAUCUGGGGGACAAAAUGGUAAUAUAAACAGGUCUGUUGUUGCCAUCAGUUACUUAGUAUGCUGCAAGAAAGAGAACAUAACUCCACUGCUAAAUGUAAAUGUUAAGAGAAUGUUUUUGUCACCAGAGGAGAAGUUUAAAUUUCAUAAGCUACUCAAGAUGGCCAAAAUCCAGGAAUGGAAUGCAGUCUGACCUCUGUUUAAAAUCUGCAUACAGGACUCUGUUGGGAAAUCCUUUCCUGCAAAUUCUGAUCCCUUCCAGCACACCAUUACACCUCAGUUGGUGCAGAACCAGCUCAUGCUCCAUGGCACCUAGCAAUUCAGAGUAUAAAUGAGUGCUGUAUUCUGUAGCGCAGCAGAGAAGAGAUACUGAAGGUUGUCUGUGGGUGAGUCUCUUACCAGGUGUUUUUGUUUCAUUUGGGAUGAUACAGCGUACAAAAUGGGGGUGGGUGCUCCUCAGAUUGGUCAUCAGCUUGUUUAAGUUCUCCUGGGAGAGUCAUCAACAAAAGUUUAUAUUAGCAAAUAUAAUCUCCAUUGUAAGCUUCAAGCCCUCUGUAAUGAGAUAACGUUAUCAGACAAACAUUGGCUUGCAGAAUCCUGAACUGAAGCCACCUGCACCAGUUUUUCUGAGUUUCCACAUAUGAUUGUUCAUUUAAUGUGGAAAAUUUGUCUGUUCUGUCUGUAGGAGAUAUUGUACUCUCAAACAUAUAAUUUUAUGACAUUUCUCUGAUGCUAGUGGAAUGCCUUCAAUAGAAAUGAUAUCCAUCUUCCAUUAUAUGUACCAGGAGAGAUAUACAGAUAGCUCUGUGAGCCAGUUUGAAGCAUACUAUAGUUUGCAUUUAAAGUGGAUCACACUACAUAGAACAAAAAUAACAAGCUGAAUAUUGUAUGUCUAGGUUGCAUGUUGCUUGUAAGGUGAGAUGAGAAUGAGGUGAGAUUAAUCCCAUUGUUGGUUUGUAACUAAUCUCUGAGUAAGUUUUUAUAAAUUAUUAUUGCCUAUAAUUAGUGGAGGGAGGCAGGUACCUCCAGGGGAUAUUUCCAAAAAAACAGUCUCAACAUCUUUCUGUAAAGGAACUAUUUUAUAUUAAGAAGGGAACACUAAAUGAAGGAUGAAUAUCAUAAUAAAUAGCCUUGAAGAGAGUUUAGAUAUGUAUGCUGCUGACAGGCAGCAAGACUUGGUUAUGAGAAAAAAAACUAUCAAAUAUACAUCUUAAAAAUCUACAUCCCACGGUGUGAUGGUAUUUCAAUCAUAAGAGGCUGAUCCAUUAAUCAUGAAAAAAAUAUUAGAUAUAUUAAUGAAGGAAACCAGAAGGCAGAAAGAAUGCUGUUAGAGGGCAACAAAAGUUUCUGAAGGCAGAGGGCACUUGAAGGAAAUAUGCAAAUUUUAGAUGUAUCUUAGAAGUCUCCUGUAUAAUGUUGUUCCAUCUGAAGACACUGUCUUGUGACAAGUGAACAAAAAUCAUGCAUUGAUUGGAAGAGCAGAAGUAAAUAAACAGUGUGUUUACUAUCAAAGCACAGCCCAAGAACUUCGGGGCUUCUUUUUUAUCACAACUAGUUGGGGGGAAGAGGAGGAGGGGAAAAGCUAUUUUAAGUAAUGAAUUUCCUCCUCAUCUUAGGAAAAAAUAUUGAACUCUGUAUUGUACCCGGAAAAGAGCUGAGACAGUCUGGAAAGAAGAACCUUUCUUCUUGCCACCUUUCUUGCCAGCACCAGCACUAGCCUCUGCAAAAUGAAAAAAAUAAAUAUAAGACAUUUCAUAUUUUUGUUUUUGCCUUUUAUGAUACUUUUUCUACUUUGUAAAUUGGUGAAAAUACGAGUUUCAAAGACCUGACCUGCUUCUGCUCCACCAUAGUUGGCAAACAGUAAGGCCAAAGUUUUCAGUGAAGAUUUCUGGUACAGCCCAAUGACAGUUUCAUUCAGGGGGUCCUUGUUCUUCUCAAGCCAGCCAGUGAUAUUGUAGUCCACUGUGCCAGCAUAGUGUAUUAGGGAGAAGUGGGCCUCAACCUUUCCUUUGGUAGGCUUGGGCUUCUGGAAGUUGCUGGACUUGCCCAGAUGCUGGUCAUAGAGCUUGUUCUUGAAAGAGGUGUCGGUUGCCUUGGGGAACAUGCACUCCUCUUCCAGGAUGGAGAAGAUGCCCAUGGGCUGGGAGAAAUAUACAGGAGAGGCAAUCAGCAAUUCAGUUUUCAGGGCAUUUGUGGUUCCCAGUGACUUGGCAAGGUGGAACACACACAAAUUAAAAUACAGAAAAUUCCAUUUAAACAAGAAAAUACUUUUUUACUGUGAGGAUGGUCAAGAGUUGAAACAGAUUAUCAUUAUCCAAGUUUAUCAUUUCAGAUAUUCAAAACAGAGCUUUGUGGUCCUCAGAAACCUGUUCUAGCUGAACCUUAUUUGACCAAGGGGGUUAGAUUAAGUGACCUCAUAGAUCCUCUGCACUCUGAAAUUCUGUGAUUCUAAUUUCUUAUCAUCUUGUCAGUCACUGAACACUACAUCCUGUAUAUAAUGUGAAUGCUUUCUUAUUCUAAGUCAAAGGAUGUACAUGUAAGUGCAACUGUUUGCUAUCAAUUAUACAUUUCCAUCUGCUGAGUUUAUUUUACAAAGAUACAGCUGUAUUGCUGUAGGAGCACAAGUCUGUUGGAGCUGAGAGGUGAAGUGGAAAUUCAACUGGAAACUUAUUCUAGCAGUUUUGAGAAAACAUUUUGAUUGAGAAUUUAACAACCUUUUAGCACUUCAGAAGAGAUCAGUACAAACCUGCUGCCAUAAAGGCUGUGUGACACAGCCUUAAUGUCUCACUUGACAGAUAAAAUAAACUGAACAGCAAUAUAUUUUUGAAUAAUGAGAUCUAAAUAUUUGCUUAUGAACAUGGAAGAUUCCUUUGAAAACUGAGAUCUAGUAAUUAUAAAGUUCCUAUGCUCAUACCUUCUCAAUGAGCUCAAUGCAGGCAGCCAGGUCCAUCCCAAAGUCAAUGAAUGUCCAUUCAAUGCCUUCCUUUUUGUACUCCUCUUGCUCCAGCACAAACAUGUGGUGGUUGAAAAACUGUUGCAGUUUCUCAUUGGUGAAGUUGAUGCACAGCUGCUCGAAGCUGUUGAACUGGAAAUAAAAUGAUAAAGAUUCAUAUUUGCAAGAUGCAGUAGUAACUGCAAAACCUCAUUCUUUAAAAAUACAGAAAGCAGCUAUAUUGGUUUCAUUGUGCCUGUGCAUUUCUUCAUUCAGCUUUAAGUCUAUGUAGCAAAA